GGCAUGGUGGGACAGUGAUUAGCACUCCUGUCCCGCAAUAAGGAGGCUCCGGGUUCGAGUGCCAGCCAGCCA
Molecule: non-coding RNA, 72 nt
Organism: Gymnothorax javanicus (giant moray)
Lineage: Eukaryota; Metazoa; Chordata; Actinopteri; Anguilliformes; Muraenidae
Source: the annotation of a GenBank genome assembly